This 422-nucleotide ribosomal RNA is filed under the name uncultured bacterium. RNAcentral's name for it is "bacterial SSU rRNA". It matches the Rfam family "Bacterial small subunit ribosomal RNA", at positions 29 to 496 of the family's 1533-position model. The record is from RNAcentral.
AGCGAACGCUGGCGGCAGGCUUAACACAUGCAAGUCGAGCGGGCACUUCGGUGUCAGCGGCAGACGGGUGAGUAACACGUGGGAACGUGCCCUUCGGUUCGGAAUAACUCAGGGAAACUUGAGCUAAUACCGGAUACGCCCUUUGGGGGAAAGGUUUACUGCCGAAGGAUCGGCCCGCGUCUGAUUAGCUAGUUGGUGGGGUAAUGGCCUACCAAGGCGACGAUCAGUAGCUGGUCUGAGAGGAUGAUCAGCCACACUGGGACUGAGACACGGCCCAGACUCCUACGGGAGGCAGCAGUGGGGAAUAUUGGACAAUGGGCGCAAGCCUGAUCCAGCCAUGCCGCGUGAGUGAUGAAGGCCUUAGGGUUGUAAAGCUCUUUCGACGGGGACGAUAAUGACGGUACCCGUAGAAGAAGCCCCGG